AUGAACGCUGGCGGCGUGCCUAAUACAUGCAAGUCGAGCGAACAGACAAGGAGCUUGCUCCUCUGACGUUAGCGGCGGACGGGUGAGUAACACGUGGAUAACCUACCUAUAAGACUGGGAUAACUUCGGGAAACCGGAGCUAAUACCGGAUAAUAUAUUGAACCGCAUGGUUCAAUAGUGAAAGACGGUUUUGCUGUCACUUAUAGAUGGAUCCGCGCCGCAUUAGCUAGUUGGUAAGGUAACGGCUUACCAAGGCAACGAUGCGUAGCCGACCUGAGAGGGUGAUCGGCCACACUGGAACUGAGACACGGUCCAGACUCCUACGGGAGGCAGCAGUAGGGAAUCUUCCGCAAAGGGCGAAAGCCUGACGGAGCAACGCCGCGUGAGUGAUGAAGGUCUUCGGAUCGUAAAACUCUGUUAUUAGGGAAGAACAAAUGUGUAAGUAACUAUGCACGUCUUGACGGUACCUAAUCAGAAAGCCACGGCUAACUACGUG
Molecule: ribosomal RNA, 496 nt
Filed under: uncultured bacterium
Lineage: Bacteria
Description: partial 16S ribosomal RNA
Rfam family: Bacterial small subunit ribosomal RNA
Source: RNAcentral